AGGACACACAAUAUGGUAUUCCGGCAAAAGACUGUCCCAGGAUAUUCUUUGUGACUGAUCACAAGUAAAACAAUCACCAGCUUUGGAUCUACUUUGCUAUGAAGAGAAAAAAGGACAUUCCAAGUUGGAAUGCUAAAACCAAUUUGUGAAAACAGCAUAUGAAUGAUGGGAAUUUCCCUGUCCUGUGACAGCAUUCUCCCUAGAGAUAUCUGGCUGGUUGGAAAGCUUCUGAAGAAUUUUCUUUCCCCAGCAAAAAACAGAGGAAUCUGCUCAUUAUAAGGAGAGGAUGAAGCCAGAACAGAUGCCACAGGCAAAAUGCUUUAUAUAAAAACAAGUAUUUUGGGGUCACUCUGUAUUUUCUUUAGUUUUU
Long non-coding RNA from Motacilla alba alba, 370 nucleotides. RefSeq lists it as uncharacterized. The record is from RefSeq and is a predicted model, not a curated record. NCBI's taxonomy places the organism in Eukaryota, Metazoa, Chordata, Aves, Passeriformes, Motacillidae. The transcript has 3 exons.